This 29-nucleotide small RNA is filed under the name Bombyx mori (domestic silkworm). RNAcentral's name for it is "ovarian small RNA-28113". Lineage: Eukaryota; Metazoa; Arthropoda; Insecta; Lepidoptera; Bombycidae. The record is from RNAcentral.
UCGAAAAACGUCUCGCAAGUCAUACAACC